Molecule: unclassified non-coding RNA, 339 nt
Filed under: soil metagenome
Description: partial contains 5.8S ribosomal RNA, internal transcribed spacer 2, and large subunit ribosomal RNA
Rfam family: 5.8S ribosomal RNA (bases 1-120)
Source: RNAcentral
GAUGAAGAACGUAGCGAAAUGCGAUAAGUAAUGUGAAUUGCAGAAUUCAGUGAAUCAUCGAAUCUUUGAACGCACAUUGCGCCCGGCAGUACUCUGCCGGGCAUGCCUGUUCGAGCGUCAUUUCAACCCUCAAGCCCUGCUUGGUGUUGGGGCCCCACGGCUGCCGUGGGCCCUGAAAGGAAGUGGCGGGCUCGCUACAACUCCGAGCGUAGUAAUUCAUUAUCUCGCUUAGGGCGUUGGGCGGCGCUCCAGCCGUUAAAGAACCAUCUUUAAAUAAAGGUUGACCUCGGAUCAGGUAGGAAUACCCGCUGAACUUAAGCAUAUCAAUAAGCGGAGGGA